Molecule: non-coding RNA, 877 nt
Organism: Parasteatoda tepidariorum (common house spider)
Lineage: Eukaryota; Metazoa; Arthropoda; Arachnida; Araneae; Theridiidae
Source: RefSeq, a predicted model, not a curated record
CAUUAAUGAAAGAAUGAGAUGGAACUUCAACACUUACUUGCUUAAACAAAAUUUGCACUAUUAGUGUAUCUAAAGCGUUUUUUAAUGCUGGCCCAAGUUAAAUUGAGAUUAUUAUUUAAAAAAAAAAAAAUUAUGGAGAUGGGACAAAAAAUAAAUAAUGAUGAAGUGAAAAAAUAAAUAGAGAUAUGUAUAACUUAGAAAAAAAUUUUUGUUUAUUAUUUAGUGGUUGAUGUGAAAAGAUGUACAAGGUUAGCUGUUAUUUUUAUCUUGUUUGCUGUAAAAAAUAAAUUAAUAUAAUGAAUGAAAAAAAUCUUUAUAAUUAAUUUAAUAUAUAAGUCCUUAUUAUAGAAAGGUACAUUCUGAAGUCGGUGAACUAUAAAUGUCUGAAAAUUCUAGUAAAUAAUUCUAGAUUGUGUUCAUUUAUCAAAAAAAUAAGUUCUGUCUUGAAAUAUUUUUAGAGUGGGCACCCAUGAUGACCACUUAUUCUUCAAACCUAAUGUGUCGACGACCGAUAUCGAUUGGUCACCGACUCGCGUGGAAUUAACUUUUUAUAUCUUUUCAAUUAAUACUCAAUUUUUGUAAGCGUUUUUUUGCUUGGAUUGAGCUAUAUAUAUAUUUUUUUUUAAAUCCUUAAAUGCUUGAAGAAUAACAAAAUGUUCAUGAUUUUAGGUUAGAAGGACCACUUAGACCUACUACAAAGAAUUCAAGUCGUGCUUUGUCCAAAUUUGAACCUCAUUUAACGAGUCAUCCUGUUGAGUCUGUGGAAAAAGAGCCAUCUAUCUCAAAUAUCAAGUCCAGUCCUGUCCAUAAUCUGAAACUGGGCUAUACCUGGCCUGAAGUUGAACUGAAUCCUCCUUACCUUGGCCUGAAAUUGAGU